GCCUUGGCCCCGGGGCUGUUAGGAGGCAGAGCCUCUGGGGAGAAGUCCCCAAACCGGAUUUACCCGUUCGUCGCAACUGUCCCUAGGAGGGCGGGCUGGGGUGUGGAGGCGGUGCCCUGCUGACUCUUGGGGAGAUAAGCCCGGGUCGCCCAGGCUGCAAAACGCUCGGCACCGCGGAAGCCGCGCGAGGCUCUCCCAGCUCGGUACGCAGGGGCCGGAGCGCCUGCUUCCCUGCGGAGCAGAGCGGCAGAGGGGCCCGGGGCUGCGUGGAAGGUCCGAGGGCUUCAGCCCGUGCGGGCAGCCGGUGCGGGGAAAGCCGAGGCGCAGCCAACUAGAAAGCUAGAGGCGGCCGAGGCCACGCGGAGUGGAGGCACCUGGAGGCCACUGGAGAAGUGGGAGGGGCUCCGGCGUGGCUCCACCCGCGACACUGGGAGCCCGGGCGGGCGCGCACGUGUGUAUACGGGUGCGUGGGCCCAUCCGGCGGCCCGGACUACAAGUUCCAGGGUGCCCAGCGGCGCUCCCGGGUUUUCUGGCUGCGCCGCCCGCUGCCUCCGAGCAGGUCGCCGCUGGCUGGCAGUCGCCACCCGGUCCCAGAGUAAAUAAGGGAGAGACACUCCCGAGCGCCGUAAAUAGAGUCCAAGUGGGCGGAGAGCCGUCCCGCGCCGCCCGCUCAUGUCUCUUCAGAGCCGACUGUCCGGCCGCCUGGUACAGCUGCGCGCGGCGGGGCAGCUGCUGGUCCCCCCGCGCCCCCGGCCCGGCCACUUGGCGGGUGCCACGCGGACCCGCAGCAGCACGUGCUGUCCCCCAGCGUUCCUGGGCGUGUUCGGCCGCAGCGCCCGGACCUCGGCGGGAGUUGGGGCGUGGGGGGCGGCGGCGGUGGGGCGGACAGCCGGGGUGCGCACUUGGGCCCCCCUGGCCAUGGCGGCGAAGGUGGACCUGAGCACCUCCACCGACUGGAAGGAGGCGAAAUCCUUUCUGAAGGGCCUGAGUGACAAGCAGCGGGAGGAACAUUACUUCUGCAAGGACUUUGUCAGGCUGAAGAAGAUCCCGACGUGGAAGGAGAUGGCGAAAGGGGUGGCUGUGAAGGUGGAGGAGCCCAGGUAUAAAAAGGACAAGCAGCUCAAUGAGAAGAUCUCCCUGUUCCGCGGCGACAUCACCAAGCUGGAGGUGGACGCCAUCGUCAACGCCGCCAACAGCUCCCUGCUCGGAGGCGGUGGCGUGGACGGCUGCAUUCACCGGGCCGCCGGCCCCCUGCUUACCGACGAGUGCCGGACCCUGCAGAGCUGUGAGACUGGCAAGGCCAAGAUCACCGGCGGCUAUCGGCUCCCGGCCAAGUACGUCAUCCACACGGUGGGACCCAUCGCCUACGGAGAGCCCAGCGCCAGCCAGGCUGCCGAGCUCCGCAGCUGCUACCUGAGCAGCCUGGACCUGCUGCUGGAGCACCGCCUCCGCUCGGCGGCGUUCCCCUGCAUCUCCACCGGCGUGUUUGGCUACCCCUGUGAGGCGGCGGCUGAGGUCGUGCUGGCAACCCUGCGAGAGUGGCUGGAGCAGCACAAGGACAAGGCGUGGCGGCCCGGCCCCGGCUGAGCAGCCCCUGGCGCAGGUGGACCGGCUGAUCAUCUGCGUGUUCCGCGAGAAGGACGAGGAUAUCUACCGGAGCCGGCUCCCCCACUACUUCCCCGUGGACCUGCCUUCGGGACCCCGCUCCCAGCUCUGAGAGGUCGCCAAAGCCUGCAGCCUGGCCUGGGCCCGGCCAGCCCUUCUUUCCCUCCGCGCCCCGCCCGAGGAGCCUAAUAAAGAUCACGCUGUGGCAGCUC
Molecule: RNA transcript, 1817 nt
Organism: Macaca mulatta (Rhesus monkey)
Lineage: Eukaryota; Metazoa; Chordata; Mammalia; Primates; Cercopithecidae
Gene: MACROD1
Gene name: mono-ADP ribosylhydrolase 1
Source: RefSeq, marked validated